This 336-nucleotide ribosomal RNA is filed under the name Varanus niloticus (Nile monitor). RNAcentral describes it as "partial 12S ribosomal RNA". Lineage: Eukaryota; Metazoa; Chordata; Lepidosauria; Squamata; Varanidae. The record is from RNAcentral.
UGGGACAGAGCAGGUAUCAGGCUCACAAUGCUAGCCCAUAACACCUCGCCAAGCCACAUCCCCACGGAUAAUACAGCAGUGACUAACAUUAGGCAAUAAGCACCAACUAAGCUUGACCUAGCUAAAAUUAAAAUGGCCGGCAAAUCUCGUGCCAGCAGCCGCGGUUACACGGGAGGCCAAAAAUAUGAUACAACGGCGUAAAGAGUGAAUAUGAAUUAUACCUCAUACUAGGACCUAAAAUUGUGCCUCAGAGAUGAAAUCCUAAGGUACCAGGAAUUUCUCAACACCCUACACCAGGCCAUUUAAAUCACGAAAGUCAGAAUACAAACUAGGAUU